UACAAGGAUGCAUUACUGAAAUCAUUGCUAUGGAUAGCAAAACUAGUGGGACCUCCUGAGAGCAUCUAGAGUGUUCUUGGAAGUGAGCUGCUAUGACUAAAAAACCUGACACGAGCAAUUUUAAAGGAGGACAAGUUUAUUUGGGGGCUCACAGUUUCAAAGAUCUCAGAAUGGCCAACUCCAUUCUUUAGGGCCAAGGUGAGGCAGAACAUCAUGGCAGAAGAAUGAUAUGGAGGAAAGUGACUCAGAACAUGGCAUCAGGAAGGCAGGGUGGGGGGUGGGAGAGGGAGGGAGGGAGGGAGGGGGAGAGAGACAGACUCCUCUCCUCACCACAGACAAAAUAUAAACCCCAAAGGCACACCCCCAAUGACUCUCCUCCUCCAGCCACACCCUACCUGCCUAUAGUUACCACCCAGUUAAUCCCUAUCAAGGGAUUAAGGCUUUCAUAACUCGAUUAUUUAUUUCACCUCUAAACUUUUUUUCAUUGUUUCACACAUGAGCUUUUGGGGAACACCUUCUAUCAAAACCAUAAGAGAGCUCCUGAAGUCCAGAAGGCUGAGGAAUUUAAGUCUUCUGUUUUCCAUGGAUUGAGCAAUGUCCCUGAAGGCAUUAGUCUUCUGCAUUCCAAGAUGUGAUCAGUGGUUGAAGUGGACAGCUGUCAUCACAAGGUAAGUCUGGGCACACACAGAAUUAUCCAUAGCUGUUGCAGUUGAUAUCUAAGGUUGAGCCGGUGUAUGUAAAGCAGGGCACUGGCCACGUCUGCUAAAAAUACUUCAGCAGAAAGAUAAAAGGAAGGAAAUUUUGAAGGAAAAACUGAGUUGCUGGAGGAGAGAAUCAAGAGACUUGACAUACAAAUAAAUGAUGUUACAGAAGGAAACUAAUAGAUGGAAAAGAAAUAAUAAGUAAUCAUUGACAACAAGGACAUGUCAAACGAAACACAAGAAAAUUUUCCAUAAGAUAAGUAUAUGCUUAUACUAUUUAUAUACUCUUAACUCCUACACUCAUCUCUUUGGAUUGACUUGAAGACUAGUAUACCCUGUAGUUACUUAACAGCACCAUUGGAUAAUCAGAUUAAAUUUUCCAGAUUAGCACAGUAAAUACAGAACUCAUCCUUUUCUCUCUUUUUCUCUCAUUUCAACUUGCUCUUUUUCAAUCUUAACUAUUGCAGGAGGUACUGUCAUUCAUGUCACUGUUCAAGCCCAGAGCCCUGGAGAAACUUUGAUUACUCUUAUAUAUCACACCCCACCCUCUUCUACUAGUUGGCUUUACCUUUAGAUUAUCCCAUAUCUGAUCACAUUUCAUCACCAUAGUGCAAACCAUCAUCAUUUUUUUUUCACCCAGAUAACUGUGGUAGCUGUCUGUGAUAUUAUGAUUAAAUUAGAAGUGCAUAUUUGCUCUCUGCUCCCAGUUCUAAUAUUUGGUCUUUGUCUCCUGCUUCCUGACACAGAGCCCCAAGUCCUUUGUAAUUUGAGGAGUGAUAGGUGUGUCUGACACGGAGUUCCUAAAUCCCUGAGAUUUUCCUGUAGAUCUUCAAUUCUAAUGAGAUGACUCUUGGUGGGCUCCCAGAUAGCCUCAAAUGGGUGCUGGUUGCCAAGGGAACCAAUCAUAUGAUUAGCCAGUUGGAAGUUUCAGCCCUAUCCCUGAGCUCUAGGGAAAACGGAGGGGCUGAAUACUUAGUUGAUCACCAGUUGUCAAGGAUUUAGUCAAUCAUGCCUAUAUAAUGAAGCCUCCAUGAAAACUCAAAAGGACAGUGUUGGAGGAAGAGCUCGGGGGUCAAGUUCUUGUCUAGCACGUGCCAGGGCCUGGGAUUGAUCACCAGCACUGUGGAGGAGAAAAGGAUACACCAAAAGACCACCAAAGAGCUUCCAGAUUACUAAGUAUGUGGUCAUUUCUGGAGGCUGGUGUGUUCAGAAAGGGCAGGGUACUUCCAUGCCCCUUUUUCCAAGCCUGGCCCUGUGUCUCUCUACCAUAUGAUGGUACAUCUGUAUCCUUUGUAAUAUUCUUUAUACCAAAUGGGAAACAUAAAUAUUUCCCUGAGUUCUGUGAGCCACUCCAGCAAAUUAAUUAAACUCAAGGAGGGGGGUCGUAGGAACCCCAAUUUAUAACUGGUCCAUCAGAAACACAAGUUAUAAUCUGGGCCUUGAAAUUGGCAUCAGAAGUGAGGACACUUUUGGGGGACUGAGCCCUUGACCUGUGGGGUCUGAUUGGAUCUCCAGGUAGACAGUAUCAGGAUUGAGUUAAAUUAUAGGACCUUCAGUCAGUGUCUGAUAGGGAAUUGACUAUUUGGAGUGUGGAAAGUAAUCUUCACGUAGAUGGUGUCAGUAGUAUUGUGUUGAGUGACGGUGUGAGAGUAAUGAGGAAAAUUCCAAUUUGGGUUCUCUGUCCCUCUUGUUCACACACAGUCUGUUUUUUUACACAAAACCCAGAGUGGAACUUUUAAAUAUCUUGAUUAGUUUUUGUGACUCUCUGGCCCCAAGACCUCUAAAGACUCUCCAUAUAAGAACAUUCCCAUACGUUUAGAAAAAAAUUCCCAACAAUUCCUCACCAUGACCUGAAAACCCUACAGGAUGUACUUGUCCAUUCUUUAGUUAUCUCUUGUUCCCUCUUCUCUAGCAUAAUUUCACUACAUCCCAGUCUUCUGGUUGUUUCCAAACACUCCAGUCUAUUCCCACAGUGUUCACUGUUUCCUCUACCUUAAAUUCAAUCUCACCAGAGUCUUAGGGCAAUGUGGCAUAAUUUAUUUCUAAAUGCAUAUAGUUUAAUUUUUAAUCUGGGAUCAUUCUAAGUGUAUAACUGUAUAACAAGUUGUUAUUAACAAUUGUGUCAGUAUAUGAAACCAUCCCAGCCAUAAAUGUUCACCCUGAGAUAUUUUUCAUGGCCUGCUGCCUUAUUAAUUGUAGGUCUUAUGUCAAAGGUCUUUAUUUGCCUCCCAAUUUAGGAUAGACAUUUUACCAUCUCUAAACCUAAAUUUCCUUGACUAUUUUUUAUUUUUCUUCAUGGCACCCAAUAUUUCCUGAAAUCAUAUUAUGUGAUCAAUUGGUUAUUUAUUGAAUGUCUGCCUCCCUUUCUUAAACAGAGGCUCCAUAGAGGCAAGACCUUAUCUAUCUUGUGUAGCACCACACCUUUGAUGUCAGGAGCACAUAGCAGAGGCUCACUAAAUUUCUGUAGAAUGCAUGGUCAAAUCUCUUGCAGAAGACUACCACCCACCGCUUGCCUGCCUCACCUUGGGAGAGUUCCUAUUGGAAUUUGAUAAUAGGUAGAUUGGAGAGGUAAAGAGCAUCAAGGCUGAGCUUAGUGACUGAGCUUAGUAUUCCAGGACUUCAGUCUGAGAUGGAUGAGGCACCAGGAGUCUUCAGGCACAUUUUGGUUAGAUUGUGUGUCAUUAUUGUGUUUAUGUGCAUUCUUUUCAGUCUGACAUAGAAAACCAGAGAGCAGUUGUUGUCCAGAGAGCAGAGAUCAGUUAUCUACCUCUAGGAGACUGGUCAGGGUCAUGCAUGGAAUCAAGCCCCAGCUUUUCUGGCUGAAGGUCAGGGAUGGCUUGUGGCCCAGUGUGAGGGGACCUGGAUUGCAAGUCAAGAUGUCUUUGAUGAGGCAAGGUUUGCUAGGUUAGUGUGAUUCUAGGAAUGAUUGAUUUCCAAGCUAGGAUAUAUUCUUUUUACUUUCUGACAUUUCUCUCUUCCUCCUGGUGCUCAUACUAGGAUUUAUGGAAAAUUAUUUCUAUGACUGUUAAAGCUAGAGCUGGGGGAAGGUCAUGUCACCAGAGUUGAAUAAAGCGGUCAAACUAAAAAAUAGCUUCAGCCUAGAAACUGGGAGAUGGGAAAAGGAAAAAAAGAAAAAAAAUACUUAGUGGCCUGAAAAUCAGAAGGUUUAUGUUCUAUACAAGUUCUGGCACUAAAUUUUUGGGUGAUUUCAGGGUAUCAUUCUUUUUCAUUUAAGAAAUGAGGUCUAUGAACAGGUUAAUCUUAAAGGAUUCUAUCAAAUCUGAAAAAAAUUCACCAAUUCAUCAUUUGAUGAUUCUUUUCAAUUCAGUAAGUAUUUAUCAAGAAUCUUCCAUGUGCUGGGGAAUGGACCAGGACCUGGGUAAGCAGAAGAAUUAUGGUCUCUGCCCUUUGGGUCUAGUGAGGGAGGCAGGCAAGGGAAUGAGCAGGUAGUUAAGCGCCUGAGCACAUGCUAGAGGCUCUUUCAAGGCUCACUGGAACACAGUUGAAGGACUAAGUUAAUUCUCUAUGCUGGAUUCAGGGUGGGGGGUGCAAGAAGGGCUGUUUGAGCUGAGAUUCUUAAGGACUUCAGGGGAGAAAGGAGGAAGAAUGAUCCCAACAGAGGGAUGAACAAUAUUAAAGUAGCAUGACGGUCCAUGAUAAAUCAGGGAAUAGAUACUAGUUCUAUAGAAGAUAAGGAUCCAUGAGAUACAGAGUGUUACUAGGGGGAGUAUGAAAUUGAUUGGAGUCAUAUUGACAGAGAACUUGGCCAAUGUGUUUUUUUUUUUCUUUAAGGCAUGUGUACUUUAUUAACUGGGAAUAUUUAAAGGGGCAUGAAAUAGACUUUACAGCGGAUGGUGGCUUAAACAACAAAGACAUUGCAUUUUCUCAUAGAGCAAGAUGUACAGUAGUGAGUUCUUUGCAGUUUGGGGCAGCACCUCAACAGUAUCUUCAAAGACUCAAGAUUUCCCCAUUCUCCCUGUGUUCUCAUCAUGCUGACUUUCCAUUCUCAGGCUUUUGGCCUCAUGGUCGUGUAUAAUUAUUGGACUGCUAGCGGUUGUAAUUGAUGACUCCCUCAAUUCUAAGUGGCAUAAUGUAACUUCAGUUUAUUCCUUUCUGUAAAAUCCACACAGCUUUUCUGAUAAGCAAGUGGCUUUUCUUCAAAUGUUUUUCUUCUUCUCCACCAGCUUCAGAACAUCUUUCAAGACUACUGAUUUCCAUCAAGGUGGGAAGGGAAAUAAUAUGGAGGACCAGACAUGACUUUUCCAUGUUACUUCCAAACUUCAUAUAGAACUUUCCUCCAUACUCUACGACAUAGAAUCCCAUAAUAUCUAACUGCAAGGGAAAAUGGGAAAUGGAGAGUAUUGUGACCUUAGGAAGAAGAGGAAAGAGGGUUGCUGAUGGGCUAGCAAACUUUGCCACAGGUUACAUUAUGGGUUCUGCAGCUUUAAAUAUCACCUGUUACAAAAUCUCCCUCCAAGGGAGGAAGAAGGGGGAAGAGGUAGUGCCAAAAAUCUCUCCCCAUGAGUUCAUGCCAGUUUUUCUGGAGAUUUCAGAGAAUACUUCACCUUACACA
RNAcentral lists this long non-coding RNA (5274 nucleotides) under Marmota monax (woodchuck). Lineage: Eukaryota; Metazoa; Chordata; Mammalia; Rodentia; Sciuridae. The record is from RNAcentral.